Molecule: ribosomal RNA, 464 nt
Filed under: uncultured bacterium
Lineage: Bacteria
Description: partial 16S ribosomal RNA
Rfam family: Bacterial small subunit ribosomal RNA
Source: RNAcentral
GACGAACGCUGGCGGCGUGCUUAACACAUGCAAGUCGAACGGAAAGGCCCUGCUUGCAGGGUACUCGAGUGGCGAACGGGUGAGUAACACGUGGGUGAUCUGCCCUGCACUUCGGGAUAAGCCUGGGAAACUGGGUCUAAUACCGGAUAGGAGCCAUUUUUAGUGUGAUGGUUGGAAAGUUUUUUCGGUGUAGGAUGAGCUCGCGGCCUAUCAGCUUGUUGGUGGGUAAUGGCCUACCAAGGCGGCGACGGGUAGCCGGCCUGAGAGGGUGGACGGCCACAUUGGGACUGAGAUACGGCCCAGACUCCUACGGGAGGCAGCAGUGGGGAAUAUUGCACAAGGGGCGCAAGCCGGAUGCAGCGACGCCGCGUGGGGGAUGACGGCCUUCGGGUUGUAAACUCCUUUCGCUAGGGACGAAGCUUUUUGUGACGGUACCUAGAGAAGAAGCACCGGCUAACUACGUG